Molecule: ribosomal RNA, 245 nt
Filed under: uncultured bacterium
Lineage: Bacteria
Description: partial 16S ribosomal RNA
Rfam family: Bacterial small subunit ribosomal RNA
Source: RNAcentral
UACGUAGGGGGCAAGCGUUGUCCGGAUUCACUGGGUGUAAAGGGCGCGCAGGCGGGCCGGUAAGUCAGAGGUGAAAUCCUGCAGCUUAACUGCAGAACUGCCUUUGAUACUGCUGGUCUUGAGUUCAGAAGAGAGAAGCGGAAUUCCAGGUGUAGUAGUGAAAUACGUAGAUAUCUGGAAGAACACCGGUGGCGAAGGCGGCUUCUUGGUCUGUAACUGACGCUCAGGCGCGAAAGCGUGGGUAG